Molecule: long non-coding RNA, 603 nt
Organism: Oreochromis aureus
Lineage: Eukaryota; Metazoa; Chordata; Actinopteri; Cichliformes; Cichlidae
Source: Ensembl
CUGCAGCCCGAGGUCGACUGCUGGAAAUAAUCGAGCAACAGAAGCGAAGUGUUUCAGCCAGAGUCUCACCCUCUGUCUCCCUGAUCCCAGCUUCUGCCUUCAGCCCGAAUCCAGAAUCCACAGAACGCCUGGAGGCAUCAGAGCUGCUGCCUGAGCGGGAGCUCCGGUCACACAGUGGUGGCGGUGAGGGUGAGAGGAGGUUUGCUGGCUCUGAUGCAUCUUCUUACAGUUUUGGAAGAUAAACUAGGGAUGGCAAAACACAGCGCCCCAAUCUUCAUCUCUGACCACACCUUCAGAAUAACUACGGGAAACGCCACGAGGACUCGACGACGAAGAGAUGUCUCUGCAGUGCAGCCACAGGACCCCAGGGCACGCUUCAGGCCGUGGUUUACCCAAAACACCAGAACAGGAAAGUGAUAAACACGCCAACAUACACAAACAUACACAUCUACACACACUGACUCAAAAUGAAGAGAAACACACACCUGAACAGACGUGCACUUGUUGAUUGAGUGAGAAAUGACACAUACACACAUCAGACAAUGUACACUCAUCAAACAUGACUGAUGCCCUGAACGCCUUGAGACAGAUCCAGCAGGCCCA